RNAcentral lists this ribosomal RNA (253 nucleotides) under Thiessea sphaeriostoma. RNAcentral describes it as "partial 16S ribosomal RNA". The record is from RNAcentral. Lineage: Eukaryota; Metazoa; Mollusca; Gastropoda; Stylommatophora; Helicidae.
GCCGCAGUACAUUGACUGUGCAAAGGUAGCAUAAUCAGUUGACUCUUAAUUGGGGCCGGGAAUGAACGAAAAUACGGAAAAGAGCUGUCCCUUUAGUAUAAGCGAAUUUGGUUAACAAGUGCAAAUACUUGUGUAGUUAAAUAAGACGAGAAGACCCUUGAAGCUUUAGUUAAUUCUUUUGUUGGGGCGACAGAAUUACAUUUAACUAAUUUGUUAAUACUUGAAGGCUUACAUGUACGUUUAAGCUACUCGA